GAUGAACGCUGACAGAAUGCUUAACACAUGCAAGUCAACUUGAACUUCGGUUUGGGUGGCGGACGGGUGAGUAACGCGUAAAGAACUUGCCUCACAGCUAGGGACAACAUUUGGAAACGAAUGCUAAUACCUGAUAUUAUGAUUAUAUGGCAUCGUAUAAUUAUGACAGCUAUAUGCGCUGUGAGAGAGCUUUGCGUCCCAUUAGCUAGUUGGAGAGGUAACAGCUCACCAAGGCGAUGAUGGGUAGCCGGCCUGAGAGGGUGAUCGGCCACAAGGGGACUGAGACACGGCCCUUACUCCUACGGGAGGCAGCAGUGGGGAAUAUUGGACAAUGGACCGAGAGUCUGAUCCAGCAAUUCUGUGUGCACGAUGAAGUUUUUCGGAAUGUAAAGUGCUUUCAGUUGGGAAGAAAAAAAUGACGGUACCAACAGAAGAAGUGACGGCUAAAUACGU
Molecule: ribosomal RNA, 453 nt
Filed under: uncultured bacterium
Lineage: Bacteria
Description: partial 16S ribosomal RNA
Rfam family: Bacterial small subunit ribosomal RNA
Source: RNAcentral